GACGAACGCUGGCGGCGUGCUUAACACAUGCAAGUCGAACGGUGAACUCCGCUUGCGGGGGGAUCAGUGGCGAACGGGUGAGUAACACGUGGGCAACCUGCCCUCAGCUCUGGGAUAACUCCAAGAAAUUGGGGCUAAUACCGGAUAUGACCGCUGACCGCAUGGUCUGGUGGUGGAAAGAUUUAUCGGCUGGGGAUGGGCCCGCGGCCUAUCAGCUUGUUGGUGGGGUAGUGGCCCACCAAGGCGACGACGGGGAGCCGGCCUGAGAGGGUGACCGGCCACACUGGGACUGGGACACGACCCAGACUCCUACGGGAGGCAGCAGUGGGGAAUAUUGCGCAAUGGGCGAAAGCCUGACGCAGCGACGCCGCGUGGGGAUGACGGCCUUCGGGUUGUAAACCUCUUUCAGCAGGGACGAAGCGAAAGUGACGGUACCUGCAGAAGAAGCACCGGCCAACUACGUG
This 464-nucleotide ribosomal RNA is filed under the name uncultured bacterium. RNAcentral's name for it is "partial 16S ribosomal RNA". It matches the Rfam family "Bacterial small subunit ribosomal RNA", at positions 28 to 507 of the family's 1533-position model. The record is from RNAcentral.